GGAAGCAGCACCAGACUCAGAAGAAGGAAAAGAAGGGCGCUGGUAUAUCCCCCACCAUGGGGUGUAUCACCCGACCAAAACAAGCUUAGAGUAGUUUUUGAUUGCAGCGCGUCAUACAAUGGAGUGAGUCUAAAUGACGUACUCAUGCAAGGCCCGAACCUGACGAACUCCCUGGUGGACGUAUUGGUCCGCUUUCGACAAGAGACGGUAGCCUUUACCGGUGACAUCGAGUCCAUGUUUCUUCAGGUGAUGGUACCGGAGAGCGACAGGAACUAUCUGAGCUUCCUGUGGUGGCCAGAAGGCGACACUUCUUCAACACCACGUGUCUUCAGGAUGACAAGACAUCUGUUCGGAGCGACAUCCAGUCCCAGUUGCGCGAACUACGCUCUUCAUCGGACGGCAGAAGACUUUGGCACAGGAUACACCCCCGAAGUGAAGAAGACACUGCAAAGAAGUUUCUAUGUGGAUGACGUAUGCCAAUCGACGACGUCAGAAGCCUCCGCUGCGAAGAUGGCGCAGGACCUGAAGCAGCUGUGCAGCAUGGGUGGCUUCCGACUCACGAAGUUCAACUCCAACAGCACCGAAGUUCUGACAGCGCUAUCAGAAGAUGACAAGGGAAAGACUGAAACUCACCUUGGACAGGAAACCUCUUCAAGCGAGAGAGUCUUAGGUGUACUCUGGGAUACUCACAGGGAUGAGCUUGGAUUCAGCAUCGACGUAGACGCUCUCAACAGAAGACCACGUACUCGACGCGGAAUACUCUCCGCGACCGCAGCCUGUUACGACCCGUUAGGCCUGGCUGCUCCUCGCGUUCUUCAAGGACGGAUGAUUCUUCAGGAACUGACGCGUCUACGAACCGGCUGGGACGAUGACAUUCCCAAUGAAGUUGAAGAAGAAUGGAACAGAUGGCUGAAUGGGUUGAAGUCCCUGCCAGACGUUCGCGUGCCAAGAUGUUAUGAUCCGUAUGGCAUAAGUGCCGCGGAUGCAGUGAGUCUGCACCACUUCAGUGACGCCAGUCUGAAGGGCUAUGGCACCGCGUCAUACAUACGCACUGUGCGCGGAGAUGGUGAAGUGUUCUGUUCCCUGGUUCUUAGCCGAGGCCGAGUCGCUCCGCUCAAGGCGAUUACGGUCCCGCGUCUUGAACUAGCCGCAGCCAAGCUUGCCGUAGACGUGAACCAAGAGCUCUUGCGAGCACUGGACAUGAAGAUCCAUGACGUCACCUUUUGGACGGAUAGCACGACCGUGUUGCGUUACAUCGAGAACGAGACCUCGCGCUAUCACAUCUUUGUGGCGAAUCGACUUGCUGCGAUACACGCUGGGUCGAAGAACGAACAGUGGCGGUACGUACCCUCGUCGCUGAAUCCUGCUGACAUGGUUUCAAGAGGAGUACUGCAAGACAGCGACAUGUGGUACAAUGGCCCGCCAUUUCUCAGGAGCUCACAGGAGAAUUGGCCAAGGUCUCCGUGCGUCGGUGAGACUCACCCGGAUGACCCGGAAGUGAAGCAAGCGAAGACAAGUUCGGCAGCUGUCGUUGUGCAGAACGAGAAGGCUGACAACUCCAGCGCCAAUCCCAUCGAUCGUCUGAUUGAAUAUCAUUCGUCAUGGAAGAGACUCACGAGAGCGGUGGCAUGGAUCCGCCGAACGAUCAAGACUCUGCAGCUGAAGGCCAGAGACAAGCAGGGAGCCUCGAAUGCGAGGGAGCUCACUCCUGCUGACAUAGAAGAUGCCGAGAGGAUCAUCGUGAAGCAUGUUCAGAAAACUCAUUUUCUGCAAGAACUGAUUGACCUGGGAGUGGGACGCGAGGUGCGAUGUGCCAGUCGUCUGUCGCGGCUGAGCCCAUUCGUGGAGGACGGUCUCAUCAGGAUGCGCGGACGCUUGAUGAACUCUGCGUUGGACUGGGCUGCCAAGCAUCCUCUGAUUCUCCCAGACAAGGACAAGGUAACCGACCUGAUCAUCGCAGAUCGUCACGAGAGGGCAGGACACGAAGGACGUCAGUAUGUUCUUUCUGAACUCAGGACUCGAUACUGGGUACUGAAAGGGAACAGCGCAGUACGACGGUGUUUGCACAGAUGUGUGAAGUGCAGAAGACGACAGCGCCCAGUUGAGGGACAGAAGAUGGCAGACUUGCCACAGGAUCGUGUAGAGGAGGCCACUCACCCGUUCAGUAGCACUGGUGUAGAUUACUUCGGGCCGCUAUACGCCAAGAGAGGUAGAGGUCAGGUGAAGAAGUUUGGAGUCAUUUUCACAUGCCUCAGCACGAGAGCCGUGCAUCUCGAGCUCGCAGACAACCUUUCUGCGGACUCAUUCAUUUGUGCCUUGCGCCGCUUCAUUGCAAGACGCGGGAACGUUCGCCUGAUGCGUUCCGACAGGGGAACGAACUUCACAGCAGCAGACAAGGAGCUGAAGGAAGAAGUUGAUGCAUUGCACGCGAACGAAGAGAAGUUGAAGAGAGCGAUGCUGAACAAGGGCAUCGAGUGGAUGUUCAACGUUCCUGCCGCUUCCCACCACGGCGGUGUGUGGGAGCGUCUCAUCAGAGGCGUCCGGAAGAUCCUGAAUGGUCUGUUAACCAGCCAAACAUUCACAGAAGAGACGUUGCACACACUCUUGUGCGAAACCGAGUGCAUCAUGAACAAUCGGCCGCUGGUGCCGGUUUCGUCGGACCCUCGUGACGAGGUGCCUCUGACUCCGAAUCACAUCCUGCAUUUGAAGUGUGUGACACCGGUAUGUGAUUCUUCAAGUGAAGAUGACCUGGAUGGACCCAAGAGAUGGCGACAAGCUGCUUACCUAGCUGAGCAGUUUUGGCGUUCGUGGAGACGGCUAUACUUGCCUCUCCUGCAGCAGCGAUCUCGCGCUGCCACGAGAAGUCGGACGAACCUGCGGAUCGGUGACGUCGUCGUCAUGGUAGACUUCGUAAUUCGUAAUUCGUAAUUCGUAAUUUCGUAAUUCGUUUAUUAAACGAGACGAAUCGGUACCACGCGGUGUGUGGCCGCUGGGUCUCGUGAAGGAGACCCUGAUGGGUAAGGACGGGCGUGUGCGCUCUGUGAAGGUCCGCGCUCGAGGAACCAUGUUCCUGAGACCUGUCACGAAGGUAGUGAAGGUUCUGGGCGCAGAAGAGCAGUCUUGGUGAAGCGAUGGAGCUGCAGCUAGUAGCUACACUGUAUAACACAGCAUGAGUCUAGCAGCACACCGCUAAGUCAUUGACACCGGACACUUUAGAUCAUGACACGCCACACAGGCUCAUGACACAAUCAGAAUGAUAGACAUCAGGAACGGUGCAUGUAUAUAGGAUGCGUUCUACUUGCGUGUGUUGAUGCUGAUCUCAGCGACGCUUGUUUCGGUAGGCUGUGCAGUGUGCCUAUGUGUUGUUAUAUGUAUAGUUAAGAAGUUGGUUUUGAACCUGGAUGGUUCAAAGGGGGCGGGUGUUAGCGCCGCACGGCCCCCAGCGGCGGUGUCGUUGCGACGCCGCUCAGCGGCGGUGCCCUCCGCCUAUGGUAACUACGCUAUGUUGCUAUGGUUACCGGAUUGUUUGUUUUGUUUACUUUCUUUCGGCUCGAUUUUGACAAGGUCUGGCUAGAAUAUGAAUAAUUACGAAAGAUAAAGACGAAAGAUGUGAUUGAUGACUGGCAAAAAUGUUGUUUGAGUGAAAAGGAAGAAUUUUGGCUAUUGAUUUAAGCAUGAACACUGUUCGUUACGCCGGAGAGUGACAAUUUGUCGUUACGGCUCGGCUCAGGCUCAAGGCUCCUGGCUCCUGUUGUACGAGGCUCUGUCUGGCCCUGGCGGUACGCGGCUGACUCAGGCUCAGGCCGUUAGCGCUGGAAGAAGGAGGAGGAAUGGAGGAGAAAAUAUAGAGGACUGAGAGCCCGUGAA
This is an RNA transcript of Amphibalanus amphitrite, 3867 nucleotides long. It is a transcript of the gene named beta-1,4-glucuronyltransferase 1-like, with no coding region annotated. NCBI's taxonomy places the organism in Eukaryota, Metazoa, Arthropoda, Thecostraca, Balanomorpha, Balanidae. The transcript is spliced from 2 exons. The record is from RefSeq and is a predicted model, not a curated record.